Molecule: ribosomal RNA, 472 nt
Filed under: uncultured bacterium
Lineage: Bacteria
Description: SSU rRNA
Rfam family: Bacterial small subunit ribosomal RNA
Source: RNAcentral
AGGAUAAACGCUGGCGGCGUGCAUGAGACAUGCAAGUCGAACGGACGAUCAGGGCUUGCUCUGAUCGUUAGUGGCGGACGGCUGAGUAACGCGUAGGUGACCUGCCCCGAAGUGGGGAAUAACUGCCCGAAAGGGUGGCUAAUACCGCAUGUGGUGGUGCCUUCACUGGCAUCAGUAAAGCCGCAAGGCGCUUCGGGAGGGGCCUGCGUCCGAUUAGCUCGUUGGUGGGGUAACGGCUCACCAAGGCGACGAUCGGUAGGUGGUCUGAGAGGACGAUCACCCAGACUGGGACUGAGACACGGCCCAGACUCCUACGGGAGGCAGCAGUCGGGAAUUUUGCGCAAUGGACGAAAGUCUGACGCAGCAACGCCGCGUGAGGGAUGACGGCCUUCGGGUUGUAACCUCUUUGUCAGGGACGAUGAUGACGGUACCGUGACGAAUAAGUCACGGCUAACUACGUGCCAGCAGCCGC